UCUGUGUUGUUUCAGACAUGC
RNAcentral lists this non-coding RNA (21 nucleotides) under Arabidopsis thaliana (thale cress). The record is from RNAcentral. Lineage: Eukaryota; Viridiplantae; Streptophyta; Magnoliopsida; Brassicales; Brassicaceae.